UUAACGGGGGGGAAAAGAAACACAACGGGGGCGCUUUAAAACGGUGUGUGAAGCCCAAACCCUAAAAGGAAAUUCUCCCACCUUCGGUGCCCGAGUUGUAAUUAGGAGAGGGCAACUGGGGGGCCGUUCCCCGUCUAUGUUCCUUGGAACAGGACGUCAUGGGGGUUCCGAAUCCCCUGUGGGGAGGAGGGGCGGUUUUUUGUAAAGUGCUUUAAAAGCCUCGUGCUUUUUGGGAAUGCAGCUCUAAGUGGGUUGUAAUUUCCAUUUAAAGCUAAAUAUUGGCGAGAGACCGAUAGCGAACAAGUACAGUGAUGGAAAGAUGAAAAGAACUUUGAAAAGAGAGUGAAAAAGUACGUGAAAUUGUUGAAAGGGAAGGGCAUUUGAUCAGACAUGGUGUUUUGUGCCCUCUGCUCCUUGUGGGUAGGGGAAUCUCGCAUUUCACUGGGCCAGCAUCAGUUUUGGUGGCAGGAUAAAUCCAUAGGAAUGUAGCUUGCCUCGGUAAGUAUUAUAGCCUGUGGGAAUACUGCCAGCUGGGACUGAGGACUGCGACGUAAGUCAAGGAUGCUGCUAA
This 571-nucleotide ribosomal RNA is filed under the name Saccharomyces cerevisiae (brewer's yeast). Its description in RNAcentral is "LSU rRNA". It matches the Rfam family "Eukaryotic large subunit ribosomal RNA", at positions 43 to 632 of the family's 3401-position model. The record is from RNAcentral. Lineage: Eukaryota; Fungi; Ascomycota; Saccharomycetes; Saccharomycetales; Saccharomycetaceae.